This is a non-coding RNA of Orcinus orca (killer whale), 73 nucleotides long. NCBI's taxonomy places the organism in Eukaryota, Metazoa, Chordata, Mammalia, Artiodactyla, Delphinidae. The record is from the annotation of a RefSeq genome assembly.
UCCCUGGUGGUUCAGUGGUUGAGAUUCUGCACUUCUACUGCAGGGGCCCCAGGUUCAAUCCCUGGUCGGGGAA